This is an RNA transcript of Anopheles aquasalis, 3163 nucleotides long. It is a transcript of the gene named Immunoglobulin domain-containing protein beaten path VII, with no coding region annotated. NCBI's taxonomy places the organism in Eukaryota, Metazoa, Arthropoda, Insecta, Diptera, Culicidae. The record is from RefSeq and is a predicted model, not a curated record.
GCUUCAUGCUUCCUUCCCUGUGAAACGUUCACACCGAGGGACCCGAUAGCGCUACUGCCCUGUUUGCGCGAUGCAACCUCGCAGCCCACGGGCCACGGUGAAAACGUCAUCGAGUGCGCGUGAAAGGUGAAAACGACUACUACUACCAAUCGUGUGCAGUGCAGUGUGUGUGUGCCCGCGCGCGCGUGUGUGUGUUUUUGUGUGGGAGCGUGCAUGUGCAAAGCAGUCACGAGACAGAGGCGCACGAGAGCGAGCUAGCGAGGCCGAUGCGCAACCAGUUGGCGAUCAACGACCAAGUCCCCACGCAGUGCACCACCUGUUCCUCCUUCUCCUCCUACACAGUGUUAGUGCCGGUGCAGGUGCGUUUGUCGCCGCGACCACAAUCAACCUUACAACCCCGUUACUCCCAGCACGAAAGCACUUUUCGGCGCAGCUUUGUUCAAAGGAGAUCGCCAACACAACAGACACAGUUCGCCACGGCAGCAACGAGAGGAAGCAGAAGCAGAAGCAGAAGAAUGGAUAGCAUCUGGAUAAAUGUGUUGCUGCUGACCAUCGCCAUCAGCCUCGUGCACACAAAUGGACAGUCGACGGUGAACGUGCAGCUCGAGGUGAAAAAGUACGUCGAGCGGGGCAGCGCAGUGGAACUGGACUGUGAAAACGAUGUCCUGCCCGAUAUCCUGUACAAGGUUACGUUCCUGAAGGAGGAUAGCAAGAUAUUUGAGUACAUCAAAGGACGCAGCCCACCGUACCGCAACUACAGCAUACCGGGCGCAGAAAUAGACUGGAAGAAGGUAACCCCAUCGAGGCUGACGCUGAAGAACGUGGACUAUGAGGCGUCCGGGUCGUACUACUGCGAGGUGUCCACCGAUACGCCCAUUUUCACCAAGGCGUCCAACGAUGAGAUGCUCCACGUGAUGCUGCCCCAAAAGGGACCACCGACGAUCGAGUUCGCCAAGAAGCAGCUGUAUUAUGGCGACACGCUGAUCGCGAACUGUACCACCUCCCGGGCACGCCCAUCACCCCACAUCACCUGGUUGAUUAAUGGCAAACAGGUGGAUGACGUUCAUGUCCGGCCGUUACAUCACAGCUCGAAGAAUAGCCACCGCUCGAAGGCUGCCCAGCAGAGCAUUGGCCAGCAACAGCAACAACAGCAGCAACAACAACAGCAGCAGCAGUCGAACACGGUGCUCCACCACGGGAAGCUCGUCGGUUCCGGUGGCAGCCAGUCCGUCAGCGGUAGCCUCAAGGAGCUGAAGCAGCGCACCAAAGCGGUGGAAAACGAGUUCCAGGACAAGCUGACCAAGUCAACGAGCGCGAUGGGGCUCGGUGGUGGUGGUGGUGGUGGUGGUUCGUACGCUGGUGGUGGUUUCGAGAUCCAGCCAAACGUGGGCUACAACUACGACGGUGGCUACAACUACGGCGUAAAGACGCACCAUCCGGGCAAGGAUCGGAGCGGCAACACGAUCGGCCUGCUGAACGGAGCCUUCGGUGGCCCAACGUUCGGUAGCUACGGUGGGAUGGCCGGGCUCGGUUCGCUCGGUACCGGUCCCGGUCUCGGCUUUUCGCCCGAUCUGUUCACGCUCGAGCAGAUGGACAAGCGGACCUGGAACCAGCGGCUCGACCACACACCCUACCAGCAGUACACCUACGACAAUAAGCAAUCACAGCAGCAGUCCCAGCAGCAGCAACACUACGGCAACGGUUACCGGAAGCAUCGCAACUCGUACGAGCACAAGUACCGACGGCACGUCAACGAGGGCGAGUCGCGAAAAAGCCAUCGGAUCACGGCGAGCUACAGCCAGUUGUCGAUCCGCAUCACAGAAGCGCUGACGAACAACCUGGGCCGGAUAGAGAUCACCUGUCUGGCGACGAUCCCGGCCCACGUCGAGCCGGGCGAACAGUACGCCGACUACAAGACUUCGUUGAUCAAACUGGACAUUGAACAGAACGAUCAAACCUCGCCGCAGCCAUCGAUGAGCGGUAUGGCCGCGUUCGGGAACUCUGGUGCCGGUGCACAGAGCAGCUUCCAUGCGGUGCCAGAACGCAGCCGGUCACUGGUGGCGACGGUGGUCGCCCUCUUUAUCCUGCUCGUCGUCUACCAGCGCGCCCAGCCGUUGAUGGUGUAAAUCUGCGCCCAAGCAAGCCCUCCUCCCUUCCCGCUCGCACCCCCAUUCACAUCAACCCCCUCCCUUAAUCCGCCAUCCCACGAGGAGAACAUCGGACAUCCAACAUCGGACGAACGGACGGACCCACAGCUUGCGGCCUAUCUAGUAUUGCAGAACAGUGCAGUGUGCGUGUUCGUGCGCGCGUGUGUGUGUGUGUGUGCGCUUGUGUUUGUCGGCCAACCCCGUGUUUUGCCUGUUUGAUUUUGCUGCUUUCGUAGGGUAGUUUUCAUUGUCGUGUGCGUAGCGGUUGGUCCGUGCGUGGUGGCACGUGGCAGCCACCGUGGCCGUCAGUGGUCCAAAUACGUACGAAUAACACGUGGAAGUGGAGUGUAAACGACAAAGGGGUUGCGGGCGGGCGGCGCGAAUGUUCGAGAUGAAAUGAGUUGAAAACGGUGCUAAACGAUGUAAAUCAAUGUUAGUGAGAAAGUUGUUCGAAAGCAAGUUCCGGGAGUAGAGUGGAGUGGAGUGGAGUGGAGCCCCACAAUCACUGCGUCGCUUCGUCAAAGUGUUUCUAUGUCUGCGCUUUUCGUCUUGUGCAGCUGUUUGCAUCCUCCUAGCUCUAGUUCGCAGCCUCCCUCCCCCUCCCCCCCCCCCCCCCCCGCAGCAAAAACCGAUCAACCGCUCCACAAUACGCAAUCAACCGACUCGCUCUCCUCGCUUUCCGCGGACAAAAUGCCGAAUGGACCGAACGGGCCGCAGCAGCAGUGAUCGACGAAUGGUUCCUAUUCUCCUACAUCCGUUACACACUCUCCCUAUCUCCCUCUCUCCCUCUCUCAAUCUGCCCUUUUUCGCUCUCCUCUUUCCUCGGGCGGGUAGGGCUUUUUUCUUUUACUGGAGCGUCAACAUCAUCCUUAGCCUGGGCGUCGCACCAGGCACAGCACACCAAGAUUGUGGUCUCUAGAUAGACUGGUGUACUGGUCAGUGACAAAAAAAAAUGGCUCGUACCACUAACUACUACCUGGGAGUUCACUGCUCAUUCCACCCGAGGGACCGGAGGG